AGGUUCCCAGGCUAGGGGUCAAAUAGGAGCUACAGCUGCCAGCCUACACCCCAGCCACAGCAUCGCAGAUCCCUGACCCACUGAGCAAGGCCAGGGAUCGAAGCCACAACCUCAUGGCUCCUAGUCGGAUUCCUCUCCCCUGCAGGAACUCCCAUGGAAUAGGUUUGAGGACAGCCCCAUGUAGACCCGUGACGCCGGAUGCGAGGACAUCUUGGUGUCGCCAUCGGGAAGGCUGUGGGCGGUUGUACCUCCUGCUGGAGUCUGUGUUCCAGUCUGAGAGCUGCUAGCUUGGCCUCUGUCCCUGAAGGUGUGUCUUCCAGCCAAGGGGCCGCCCCCCAUCCCCCACCUUGGCCGGGGCAGCACCCUGAGGACCGUGUCCAGGCCCUUCCUGAGGCGGAGCUAGCAGGCUGUGCUGUCCUGUCGGGGUGCGGCGAGGGCCCUCCCAGAACCAAGGGGAGGCAGCGCAGCGUGACCAGCAGCCUGACAGCAUCAGGGUCCACGUGCAACUUGGUGACAAAGACCAUCCUGCUGGGAUGUACAGAAUGGGGUUCUUCCAGGAGUCCAUCAGCCUGGCCGUCCUCUCUGUGAGCUCAGAAGAGACUGCCCCCGAGAUCGAUGCCAUGGUGUGUGUCUAGAUUCUGAUGCUGUGAGUGUAAUGAAGCCAGAUCAGAGAGCCUGUUCUCAGCUAGGCGGUAGGUCUAAGCCUGGGAUUAAUUUAACCUUCCCAGUAACGCCAUUCUUUUUUCCUUUUUUUUCCCCCCUGUCUUAGGGCAGCCCCCGCAGCAUGUUCCCAGGCUGGGGUCUAAUUGGAGCUGCAGCUGCCAGCCCACAGCAACGCUGGAUCUGAGCCGCAUCUGUGACCUCUACGUCAGCUUGCAGCAACACUGGAUCCUUAACCCACUGAGCGAGGCCAGGGAUCGAACCCCCGUCCUCAUGGAUGCUGGUCGGGUUCGUUACCCAUGUUAACCACUGAGCCCUAACGGGAACUCCCUAACAGCCUCAUUCUUUGAAAUAGGUGCCAUCGUGUCCCCGCUGUCCCAGCUAGGAGUUGGGGUUCCUCGGAGAUGAUAAUCUGUCCCUGUUUCGAGGGGGGGGUCGGGGUAGAGGGCCUCCUUUCUGCAGCCUCCCUGCACGUUCAGGUCCUGCUGGGGGCUGGGGCUCUCUCCCCCCCCCCUCCCUGCAGUUGAGAAUGCUGGGGGGCGGGGUUUCAAUCCCCAUUUCUGUCACUUUGGCCCUUAGGGCCCCUUCGUGGUUGAUCUGCAGGGACUGGGCUGAGGGGAGGCUCCGGGGUGUGCCCUGUGAGGUCCGUGGGUCCUGGCCUUAGAGCAGAUGCUCAGCCCUUACUCCGGAGCUUGGCCAGAGAUGCCAGGGCUGGGUCAUUGAACAGCAGCCUCUGUGCACCCUUCGCCCCCGCCCCCAGCACCAUGCAGCACCCUGAAUUCCACGGCAGCCCACGGAGAUGGGGGGAUGGAGAAGGAGGUGGCUGUGCUCAGGCGGCCCCUUCAGGAACCAUGCUUGGGGACCCCCAUGAUGUCCAGCACUGGGCUCUGAACUUCUGUGAAGACGUGGUGCUCCCCCGGGACCUUUGACACCCAGGGGUCUGAGGGGCCACCCCCAGCUCUGGGAAGGAGUGGGUGGGGGUCAUGGUUGCCCCACACCCCCUCCCCAACCUCUUACCUACCUCUCCCCUUCCUGUCUGCAGGCCGUUCCUCCAGAAGUUUGGCAGCCCCACCAGCCCCCUCGCUCCCGGGGGGGGCCUUGCCCCUUCAGCCUCCGCGCUGCUCUCCGCACAGAGCUGCCGUGGCCGUGGCUGAGCGAGCCCUGGGUGGGGCGAGCAACCUCUUCGACACACACAGCGCUCCUGGCCAUGGCGCAGCGCUUCCGGCAGAACCGCAGUGAACUCAUGACCACCUGGACCUGUGGGUCUAUGACGGGGGGAGGGGGGGCCCAGCCCUGUCCCUGGAUUCCGGGGAGCAGAUGCUGCGGGCGACCUGACCGGCGACACUGUCUUCAGCUACUGCUGCAAGGCUCUGCAAGACGCUGCUGGCCUGGCGCCAGCGCUGGAAGUCCUUCCUGCACUUGGAGACCACUGAGCCGCCCUCUGGCCCUGGAUCGCCAUGGAGGAGGGCUUCCAACUGGUGUGUGAGCUGGGCACGCUGGACUGGAUCUACCACGAGCCAAGCCCAAGUGCCUGGCUCCCAAAGACAUGCCUGUGGCGGUGCCUACUGACGGCCGCGCCCUCGGAGCUGUCCCUCUCCCUGGUCAGCCUGCUGGUCAAGGGCAUGACGGUGCUGAAGAUCCAGACCAUGGCCGCCAAGCUCCUGCUGGGGCCCAACCCGAUGAACACAAAUCGUGGGCUGGCUGCUGAGCCGCGGUGUGUCCAGGGAGCGGGUGGACCGGUGAACCACCAGGGUCCUCCUGGAGCUGCCCAUCAAAGGGGCCAAGCACAGCCGGGGCUGAGGCCCCCCACGUGCUGGUGGAGGAGCAGCCCCUGCCUCCCCGGUCCUCUGACCAGGCCUGCAGGGAGGAGCUGCAGUGCACCAGGACUACGCACCCCACAAUCCAGGCCACUUUCUGCUUGGUGCUGGGAGUGGAGCAGGGGCCCAUGUCGGAGAGACACAAAGUCUUGGCCAAAGCGCCUCCUGAUCGUCCCCAGGAUAGACAGAGGGACAGCACCCCCAGCUCCAGCCAUCUCCUGCCAGGCCAGACCCUGACCACGCAUCCUGAAAACCUCGGAGAGGGUCCUUGCCCCCGCCGCCGUGGGCAUCACUGGCCUGAGCUGGUGGAGAGCAGCCAGUUGGCUGGCGUUGCUGGUUGAGGGGAGAGAGUCCGUUAAAUAUUUCAGUCUGUUACACCUUAGCCUGAUAAGCGGGGUGGGUGGGCACCCACCGUUGUGCCACACGGGCCCCCAACGCACUACAGGCCAAGCUUGAGACCCCGCAUCCCACCCCGCAAAAGCACCUUCAAGUUUGUGCCCUUGCCCUUGAGGUUUUUUCUUUAACGCGGUGGCUGUACCUGAUACUUGACUUUAGGCGUGUGCGGCGCUUGGGUUUAGUGUCCUCACUACUGCUUUUGUGAUGGUUUUUCUCUAAGUUGUUUUUUUUUGUUUGUUUUUUUUGCAAUGCCCUUUUCUUGAAAUGGAAUUUUUUUGCCUUUUGCUUUCCUGGGAAAAGGGCAGCCAGUCCCUUCCAGUUUCUCUCGCUGCACGCGUGGCUGGAGUGUCUGCAUCACCAGAGUUCCAGCAUUGUGAGGAUGGACAGCCGUGGCAGGUGGUGCCGGACACCAUUAAAGAGCCCAUGUGCUGCU
This 3306-nucleotide long non-coding RNA is filed under the name Sus scrofa (pig). Lineage: Eukaryota; Metazoa; Chordata; Mammalia; Artiodactyla; Suidae. The record is from RNAcentral.